RNA transcript from Carya illinoinensis, 1798 nucleotides. It is a transcript of the gene named UDP-N-acetylglucosamine transporter UGNT1, with no coding region annotated. The transcript is spliced from 12 exons. NCBI's taxonomy places the organism in Eukaryota, Viridiplantae, Streptophyta, Magnoliopsida, Fagales, Juglandaceae. The record is from RefSeq and is a predicted model, not a curated record.
UAACUUGUACAGAGACACGGUCUGAGUCAUCGACCCGAUCCAAUUAUAAACGCAUCGCCGGUCAUUGGCUUGGAACGACGGAUUCAAUUUCCGAGUCAGCAUUGAAAUAGGACAUUCCCUAGAGCGACCGGGAGGGGAGAGAGAGAGAGAGAGAGAGAGAGAGAGAGAGAGAUGUCUUUGAAGGCGUCGAGCUCGUCCAAGUAUCCGGUAUUACCAGUGUCGGAUCCUCCACGUGACGAAGAGAGAGACAAACUCCUCAAAGGGAAUGAGAUGCUCUUCCAAGGGUCUGCCAUGACCAAACGAGGAGCCUACGCCUCGAUCUCUUACAUGUCUUGCGCAGUGCUCUUGAUAUUGUUCAACAAAGCAGCUCUUUCAUCGUAUAGCUUCCCGUGCGCAAAUGUUAUCACACUCUUUCAGAUGAUAUGUUCAUGUUGUUUUCUCUAUGCAAUGAGACGCUUGAAGAUAAUUUCUUUCACAGUAGGUGAAUCUUUGAACGUGUCUGGUAAUGCCACAACAUUUGUAUCACUAACGACAUUAAGGCAUACCCUUCCUCUUGCAGGAGCAUAUUUGCUUUACAUGCUAGCCACUAUGGAGUCUGUCCGUGGAGUAAAUGUUCCCAUGUACACCACCCUCAGGCGGACUACUGUGGUAUUUACAAUGGUUGUGGAGUAUAUUCUGGCAGGGCAGAAGUACACGCCUUCUAUUGUUGGAAGUGUUGGAUUGAUUGUUCUUGGUGCAUUUAUUGCGGGAGCUCGGGACUUCUCCUUUGAUGGCUAUGGCUAUGCUGUUGUUUUCUUAUCCAACAUCACCACGGCAAUAUAUCUCGCAACCAUAGCCCGCAUUGGGAAAUCCAGUGGUCUGAAUAGCUUUGGCCUUAUGUGGUGCAAUGGAGUAAUAUGUGGACCAGUUCUGCUGUUUUGGACAUUUACUCGUGGUGACUUGGAGAUUACAAUUAAUUUCCCUUACCUGCUCUCACCUGGCUUUUUGGCUGUGUUGCUUUGUUCGUGCAUACUGGCUUUCUUCUUGAACUAUAGUAUAUUUCUGAACACAACUCUCAAUUCAGCACUGACACAGACGAUUUGUGGGAACCUGAAGGAUCUUUUUACCAUUGGGUUUGGCUGGAUGGUUUUUGGCGGGCUUCCAUUUGAUGUCUUUAAUGUUAUUGGGCAACUUCUCAGUUUUCUUGGCUCUGGUUUGUAUGCCUACUAUAAGCUCGUGGGGAAGUAACUUAUCAAGCUGUUUCAUGGCCACUCUUUUCAUUGGAGAUAAUAAGUUGCUGCUCCAUUGUUUUCUCCUCCAAUUCUUGUUUGAUUGGAAGGUUACAGUACUAUGAUGGGUGGCAAACUCAAUUUUCAGCAAGUAUCAGGUAUGCUUGUUAUAAUUCAUCUGCAGUUUGGAAGAGGGAGGAGGACGUAUUGCGAAGAAGGGAAGAUAAACUAAGAGAGAGAGACAAAUGCCCAUAAGGUUGAGGUUGAACAAAAUUUGUGGAGGGUCGAGAAUAGAAAUGCACGAAUAUUAUUGUAUUUAUACUGGGUUGUAUCAAUUGUAAUAGUUUCUGCUUGGUUUGGAUAAACUAUAGGGCACAUGUAAAUAGGUGGAUAUUUUCUUUAUUUUUCUUGUAUGGAUCAUAUGUAAUGGUAAUCCCCCUUGAAUUAGGUAAAGCUUGAUUAAGCACUUGAUCAGGCAUUUUGUUGUAUAUGAGGAGAGGUACCGUGGAGGCUAUGAAAAAUCUAGUGUUUUUUGUCACUGUUCUGAAUUUGCUGGGCUAUAUAGAUUUUUUCCCAAUCUAUUUUGGUCA